Molecule: ribosomal RNA, 441 nt
Filed under: Streptococcus agalactiae
Lineage: Bacteria; Bacillati; Bacillota; Bacilli; Lactobacillales; Streptococcaceae
Description: bacterial SSU rRNA
Rfam family: Bacterial small subunit ribosomal RNA
Source: RNAcentral
CAAGUAGAACGCUGAGGUUUGGUGUUUACACUAGACUGAUGAGUUGCGAACGGGUGAGUAACGCGUAGGUAACCUGCCUCAUAGCGGGGGAUAACUAUUGGAAACGAUAGCUAAUACCGCAUAAGAGUAAUUAACACAUGUUAGUUAUUUAAAAGGAGCAAUUGCUUCACUGUGAGAUGGACCUGCGUUGUAUUAGCUAGUUGGUGAGGUAAAGGCUCACCAAGGCGACGAUACAUAGCCGACCUGAGAGGGUGAUCGGCCACACUGGGACUGAGACACGGCCCAGACUCCUACGGGAGGCAGCAGUAGGGAAUCUUCGGCAAUGGACGGAAGUCUGACCGAGCAACGCCGCGUGAGUGAAGAAGGUUUUCGGAUCGUAAAGCUCUGUUGUUAGAGAAGAACGUUGGUAGGAGUGGAAAAUCUACCAAGUGACGGUAACUA